RNAcentral lists this unclassified non-coding RNA (392 nucleotides) under soil metagenome. RNAcentral's name for it is "partial contains 5.8S ribosomal RNA, internal transcribed spacer 2, and large subunit ribosomal RNA". The stretch from base 1 to 122 matches the Rfam family "5.8S ribosomal RNA", at positions 35 to 154 of the family's 154-position model. The record is from RNAcentral.
GAUGAAGAACGUAGCGAAAUGUGAUACUUGGUGUGAAUUGCAGAAUCCCGUGAACCAUCGAGUCUUUGAACGCAAGUUGCGCCCGAAGCCACUAGGCCGAGGGCACGCCUGCCUGGGCGUCACACGUCGUUGCCCCCCCCCAUCUACUCCUUCGGGAUUGCGGGGGGCGGAUGAUGGCCUCCCGUGCGCCUAGCCGCGCGGUUGGCAUAAAUACCAAGUCCUCGGCGACGCACGCCACGACAAUCGGUGGUUGCGAAACCUCGGUUGCCCGUCGUGUGCGUUCGUCGCGCAUCGAGGGCUCGAAAAAAUGCUCGGCUCCGGCUCGGCUUUCAACGCGACCCCAGGUCAGGCGGGGUUACCCGCUGAAUUUAAGCAUAUCAAUAAGCGGAGGA